RNAcentral lists this ribosomal RNA (407 nucleotides) under uncultured bacterium. Its description in RNAcentral is "partial 16S ribosomal RNA". It matches the Rfam family "Bacterial small subunit ribosomal RNA", at positions 30 to 526 of the family's 1533-position model. The record is from RNAcentral.
AUUGAACGCUGGCGGCAGGCCUAACACAUGCAAGUCGAGCGGAGCGGCGGACGGGUGGGUAAUGCCUAGGAAUCUGCCUGGUAGUGGGGGAUAACGUCCGGUAACGGGCGCUAAUCUCGCAUCCUAUCAGCUGAGCCUUGGUCGGAUUUGCUAGUUGGUGGGGUAAAGGCCUACCAAGGCGACGAUCCGUAACUGGUCUGAGAGGAUGAUCAGUCACACUGGAACUGAGACACGGUCCAGACUCCUACGGGAGGCAGCAGUGGGGAAUAUUGGACAAUGGGCGAAAGCCUGAUCCAGCCAUGCCGCGUGUGUGAAGAAGGUCUUCGGAUUGUAAAGCACUUUAAGUUGGGAGGCGUUACCAAAAGAAUAAGCAACGGCUAACUACGUGCCAGCAGCCGCGGUAAUUC